Molecule: long non-coding RNA, 2212 nt
Filed under: Sus scrofa (pig)
Lineage: Eukaryota; Metazoa; Chordata; Mammalia; Artiodactyla; Suidae
Description: lncRNA (ENSSSCG00030012845.1)
Source: RNAcentral
CCCUCUCUUAGACCAGCCAAGACCAAAGUAUCAGAAAACCAACUCAAACUUGUUUUAGCAAAUAGAGUGAAUCUAUUAAUUCAUAUAACUUGGAAAGAUAAAGUCAGGUUUCUGGCUUCAGGCGCAACCGAUCGCGCUAACCAGGAGACUACCUGUCCCCCCAGCUGUGACCUUGCUCUCAUCUCUCCUUACACCUUAGCUCUGCUUUCCUCUGUGUCAGCUGCAUUUUCAGACAGUCUCUCUUGCUCAAGAAUAAAGAAAACCUGGCAGUGUAUUUAGGCUUACAGAUUGCCACAAGCGUGUUUUUAACGAGGCACUGCAGCAGAGAGAGAUGCUUGAAACCUACUAUCAAAAACACAGAGCUUUUUGAGGGGGGGGCUGGAAACAAUGGGGCCACGGUGAGACAGAAAGCGAGAAAAAGAAAUAUAACCAGCAGGGACUUUCACUUCUUAAGUGAUUAACAACCAAAGCAUUUUGUGAAUUGUUAAGAAUCCCCACAUUAUUCUUAUUUAAUGACAAGGUUUUAAACAGAUGAAAACUUACUUAACAUAGAAUAUAGGAUGUUCCUAUUUAAAUAAAUUAAAAGAAAAUUCUCUAAGGCACAUCUGAGUGUUUCUUCCUCUCUGGGUUUUCAGGACAUUUAGACAGAAACACCAUAGGCAGCAGCAGGUACCACCGACAAGAAACAAACAAGAAAAAGUGAAAUCAUGUAAUAAAAUACCCGUUAUGUCAAAAAUGUACAAGAGCAUAAAGAGAUACAAAUUGAGCCCAUGAGAAUGCUUGUCUUGUGGACACAUUUAUACAUGGAGGACCCAACCUUGCAAAGAAGAGGAAAGCUUCCUUCUCUGACAGAGGAAAAAAGGGGCCAGAGCGAAAAUCUUUGAGGAGCCAAGAAGCCUCCCAAGGGAAGCAUAUCAAUACCCGGGUACCUGAGAACAUGGGCCAUUUCCAGUGACUCCUGGAGCAAAGGGACAUGGAAGAUGACCAAUGCAGGUCCUGAGCACCCCUCAAGAGCAGGAAAAACGCAUUUGAGGACACUCCGCCACUAACAACAAUCCUGGUCUCGGCAUCCUUCAGACAAGACGAUGCCAUCACAGCACACAAAUACAGUCAGUGAAUCUGUACAUUCACGGUGUCCUUUUUCCGUAACAGGUUCUGCCAGGGUUACGAUGAGAACUGCAAAUGUCGACAGGGAGAUUGACCCAGAAUUGAAGGUUGGCAACAUCUCACAAAGAGAAGGAAGAGCACUCAGCCUUAAAAAAAAGAAUGAAAUCCUGCCAUUUGCAGCAACAUGGAUGGACCCAGAGAUUGUCGUACAAAGUAGAGUUAGACAGUGAGAGACAAAUACCAUAUGACAUCACGCACAUGUGGAAUCGAAAACACAGGAUCUUAAUGAACCUAUUUGCAGAACAGAAACAGACUCAAAGACUUGAGAACAACUUAUGGUUACCAAAGGGAACAGGUGGAGAAGGAGGGAUGGAUAGGGGGCUUGGGAUGGGCAUGUGCACACCUAGGUCUAUGGAAUGACUGGCCAACGGGGACCUGCCGUACAGCACAGAGAACUCAACCCAAUAUUCUGUGCUCAUCUAUGUCGGAAAAGAAUCUGAAAGAGAAUGAAUGUGUGUACCUGUAGAACUGAAUCACUUCGUUGUACACCAGAAAUUACCCCAACAUUGUACAUCAACUCUACUUCAAAAAAUAUUUUAAAUGGAAAAAAAUAGAAAUGGGAAAAAAGAGAAUUAAGAGUGCAAUUAUUUGUGGGAAUUUAUGGGACUGUGACUCCAGGUAGGAAGGCAUGUUUCUGUCCCUGUCCUCGGGCUUCUUUCUGCAUCAGCCAAACAGAACUAGCCUUCCUCUGCUCAACUGCUUCUUCUCAGAAAGAGAGAGGAGUAAACUAAUGUGAUUCUUCUCUAGCCCCUUUCUCUCUCUAUUUGGGGCAUGGUUAUCUGCCCAGAGGGAGUGCCUGCCUGGCUUAGCCUGAGGUGAUACCCCCCCCAGGAAAAGGGGAGGGGGGAAUGAGGGGAGCUUUUGAAGUUGGUGAGAGUGGCAGUGUCAGCUCAGCAAAGUGUUAAGAUUGGGUGCACUGAAAAGUUCCCAUUGUGGCUCAGCAGAAACAAACCCAACUAGCAUCCAUGAUGUGGGUUCGAUCUCUGGCCCUGCUCAGUGGGUUAAGGAUCUGGUGUUGCCAUGAGUUACAGUGUAGGUCGUAGAU